GCCAGCGACCAUCCAAAAGCUAACUGAUCUUCGAAUUUGUGUGAACAAGCUCCUCAACUCCCUCCAACAUAACUAUAACUCUCUUUCCUUUUCCUUUCUUGCGGACCCGAGGAGCUGCCUUCUUUCCCUAGAUACCCCUCUCUGCCUAACUCUACAAGGUGGAAUGACUGUUCUCACUCCUUGAGUAAAUCGAGCAUCAAGAUCCGUGGAAUCGGAAUCGAAAUCGGGAUCCGUGCUGGUCAGCCGUCAGUACGAGUCGGUACGAAUCCACACCGAACCGAAGCGAUGAGAACCAAUACAGAAGAGAAGGAAACCGGGGAAGAGAAAGAGGGGAGGGGGAGGAAGAGGUUAGCCGAAGGAGACGUCGGCAGUGGCCACAGGCGGGCCGCAAGCACACUCGGAGGGCCACCAAGGCCUUCACUUCCUCCGCCAAAUCUCAAUCGAGAGAGAUGGUGAGACGGAGAGAAAGAGAAAAGGAGGGAGGGAAAGCCGAUGGAAAGGCCGCCAGAGGAUCUUCGACUAGCCGCUGUGGCAGCCGGACAAUGAAAUCACGGCCUGCGGUGCCGCGGGUGUGAAAUAGGAGUGAUCGCCCCUGUUUCGUGUUUUUUUAAAAAAAUUUCAACCACAAUGAAACCGACACAUCCAUUGCUGGCUUCACUAUUUUUUCGAUUAAAAAACACAAUGAAUAGGGACAGUCAUCCCUGUUCAACAGUCACAGCUCCACCCAUGCAUUUUCCACAGUCCGACAACCACGGAGGCCCCCCCAACACCCUCCAAUAGCCUCUCCACUGGCUACACCUCCCUCUAGUGUAGUCGCUUUUCCUCUCUCGAUUAAACAUCCUAUUGGAUGACGUGGAGCCGCAAAAGCCUCCAUGUUCCUCUGAUGGACUCGACGGGCCAUUGUUGACCAACAACGUCAUCCCCUCUUUCUCUUCCCUCUCUCUCUCUUUCCCUUUUUCUUAUUCGAUGUUCCGAUUUGGCCGACUAAACCGUCCCGAUUUGCAGUCAGUAUGGCUCAUAACAUCCCGAAUCUCUUAGUUCGGAAUGGUUUGGCAAACGCUACCGUGCACAAUGAUAGCCUCUUCUCAGCAUCUGUCAAAUUUCUGGGAGUCUCCACAUGGAGCCCUAUAACAAUUGGAUCGAUGUAGCACCCUACCAGGUCUACAUAAGUUUUUAAUUAAAAAAAUAUUUUAAUAUAAAAUAUUCAGAAUAUUAAUUUUGCUUCAGAUCAAAGUAGCAUCUUAUCAAAGAUACUACAAAUAUUUUUCUCAGCUCGUAGCUAUGCAAACAAGACAACUGAUUUUUCAAAAUUAUUUAAAUUUGUGCCUAGGUCUCUUUGCACAUGAUCAUGCUUAAGUUUAAAUUAUUGCCAAAUUUUGAUAGAAAGUACCAUGCGUACUCCCAAACAUGCUAUCACAUUUAUAGAUUUUUUUAUAUCAUUAUUUUAUUUUUAUUAUUUUUAAUCUAAAAAUUCAUAUACUCAACCAAAAAUUAUGAUUUUGGCUAUACUACAUAGAUCCGUCGUACAUCUACAACAUAUCAUGAAAUCAAACCAAAAUCCAAAUUUUUGUUAUCUUCAUCAUUUUCACUAAUUUUUUGCCAAUAUUUAGCAUGAAAAAGAAAAAAGGAACGGAAGAAGGCCCUUUACCUAUUUUUGGUUUGAAUUUGGACUAAAAUUUGCAAAAUCUGCCUCCUUCCAAUUAUUGUGGGUUAAGAGGUGAAGUGGAGAAGGCAUGAGAGGCCUUCUCUACCUCCCUCUAAAUUAUUAAAGUGGGAGAGAGGGCCAUAACGUUUUCAACAAUGUUUCAUACUGGUCGGUACCGAUGCAUAUCAAGCGUAUCGUACCAAAUCGAUACGCAGAAUAGGAGGAAGAGAGUGUCAAUACGCUUAAUCGGGCUCUAUACUAGGCAUAUCGACAGUAUAAUAGGAUAGUACUAGUAUGAGAUACGGUAUCGAAACGGCGAAUCUUGAACCUGAACCAAGCUGAACCAAAGAAUUCAGCUAGACUCAAGGUUGUAUCGCUCGGUUCAAGCCAGAACCAAGCAAACUGGAUCCUAAUCCUGAAUUGAAACCACAUACAGACAUACCAUCUCAGGUCAUGGGCAGUAUGAUUCAAUACACCCCGAACUGUGUAGUUUAGGGCAAUACAAGUCAGUAUGCCCCAAACUGGGCAGUUCAAGGCAGUAAUGCCUUCCUUGCUUCUAAUUGUACCAUCUCUUAAAUCAAAUAUAUUCCAUUUCACCAACACUGCCUCACUCUUAACAUAUUAAGCCCUACUUCUCCUUAAUACUCUUGGGACUAUGGUAGUCUUACUAAUUAACUUCUUUGUGGAAAUUUCCAUUAGAAACUAAAUUCUUUUAAUUCUUUGCAUGAAUGUAAACACGUAUUUUUUUCUAAGACAGAAGAUAGUUUCAUCAUAUAUUGCAAUGAAGUAUCAUAAUUUAAUGUGUCAAACCUGAAGCAUCUGCAUUAAUUUUGGAUGCUGUUCCAAAAGUUGACAUAGCUUAUCUCGAUCACUUAAGAGAGUCUGUCGAAAACAAACCAAAGAGAAUUCAAAUAAGAAACUAUGUCAGUCAACAUUGCAGAAUAAAUUUCAUACAUUAAAGUCAACCAUAUACAAGACAAACCUGAAUGGCUUCAGGUGAAGAAAAGUACUGCUGCAAAGUCAUUACUGACUCUUUCUGCUGCUGAGGUACACUAUCUACUUGAAGAUUUUGAUUUUGCAGUUGAGCUUGCUCAAGCAUUGGCUGCAGCGGUUGCAGAAGGGACUCCUGCUGCUGGGUUUCAUAAUAAAAUUGUAACUGGGGAAUAUGGAGCUGCUGUGGAAUCUGCAAGGGAUUAACUUGUACUUGGAUGGUGCUUUGUUGAAUUGGCAUAACUUGUUCAGAAUGUGGUUGUGAAACCUGUAUAGGAGGUCCAGUGUGCUGAGGCUGAGGAGGAUGUGGUAGCUGGGGAGGAGGUGGAGGUGGUGGUCGGGGUUGCAUUGAUUGAACACUGAUAUGAGAACUAGGGACAGGCUGUGAAAGAAUCAAUGAGUUCUGUCCAUGUUGCAGGGUAGGUGAACUAAACAAUGUUCCAGGUACAGAAGCCGGCCUACUCAUCAGCAAAGCUGAUGUAAAUCCCGGUAGUGAAUAAGAAGCUAUGCUUGUUUCUGGUGUAGAAAAAAUUCCUAAACUGGUGUCAUUAAUAGGAGUCGAAGGUGGAGUGAACUGGGCUGCAACAGUUCCCUGAUUAUACAAUGAAGCCUGUGAUCCAGAAAGAGUUGUAGGGGAAUGGGUAAUUGGAGUUGAAAAUGGUGGUGGCAGAGGGGGAAGCGGAGGCAGUGGACGAGCAGAUGUAGUGGAAGUAACAGUCUCCAUAUGUAACCUACUGCCUGAAACCGAAUUCCAUGAGAGCUUUGGGUCCAGAACAGGCUGGGCAUUUGAAGAAGAACACUUACCAGUGGAUAAAUAAUUCUCUGACUGAAGCUGCAAUUCAAAGAAAGAAAUUCACUACUUCUGAAAAAAAUGCAGAUGGCAUGACUCAAUGCAACAAAACUGAAAAACUCCAAAAGAAAGGUUUUUCUCUCUUACAUUAAGAGCUCUAACUGUAUUAGGGCCAUUGAAAUCAAAUGCUUGCAGUGGAUAUCCCGAAGGAAGUGGUGGUUGUACAUCUCGGACAAUGUUUAUGUAAGGUGAAGAGUGGCUUUGCACUGGUUCAGCAGUUUGAGACAGCACAGAAGAGAGAGCUGAAGGGGGCAUUAAAGGCAAAGGUGGCUGGCUAUUGGGAAGUUUCUGUUCACCAUACCCUUGAGAUCCAGCAGUUGAACCACCGUCAGCGGUCUUCUGUGGGCUGUCCCUAUGAUAUAGAGUAGAUGGUGGCAACGGUUGAACAGAUGAUGAGCCAGAACAAACACGAACAAAGUGUGAAGGGAAACUAGUAAGAUUUGCCGAGGGCUGUGCAUCAAAACCCUUUGAUCCUGGAAUAGGAGAAACAUAUUUUGACUCCUCAGAUUGCUCGCAUAAGGAUGUCUUGGCCACUGCUGUCAAUCUCAUGUGUUUCUCUGAAGAAAAUUGUUGAGCCACUGGUAUUUCGGACUGAGAAAUAGACCGUCUCAAAUGAAUAUCUGAAUGGGAACCUCCAUCUUCAGAUGCUGGUGGUGUGCCUAAUCGAGAAAAUCGAGAAUUUUCAUUUGCAUCUCCUUCAGUCUCCUCAACUAUUGAACCUGGAGAACUCUCCCCAGUGAUGAGAGACUGGAAAUUAUUUUCAGGUUGAGGAAAUGGCAGUCUAUCAUCAGAUUCUGAUUCCUCAUCAAAGACAAUAUCUAUCUCUUGAUCAUCAUCAAGAUCAGUCUUUAACUGCUGAGGUUUAUCCAACUUAACAGGAACAUUGUCAUUUCCAAGAGCCAAAUUCUUAAUUUGUGAUGCAUCUCCAACCGCAAUACCCAUGGGAUUUUGGCGCUCCCUUUGCCUGGCCAUAAACUCAUCCACAUGAAUUGAUGGAGGCCUUCCACUCAUAGAUGUCCCACGCUGAGAAGAACUAACAAUAUUUGAUCCACUACUUGCACCAUCAAUAUUUCUCUCUCUGGCAACAUAAUCAUCAACAUGCAUGGAAGGUGGUCUGCUUGUGUUAGGCUUCCUCUGACGAAAGGUGUCUCUACGAGCAGGGCCAGAAGCAACAUUGGUUACACUCAACCCUUGAGAAAAUGCAUUUGAACCAAUAGCUUCGGAACCUGUAUUGUCCCGUACACGUCUACCAGAGCCCUCUACUGAUGCCAGUUUCCUCCUUGCAGAUAAAGCCGGCACCGAUCGUCUGUCAAGAGAAGAAUCAGGACAUUCCCACACAAACUUCUCAGCAAAUCCUUCGAGCAAGUAUUGAUUGCCAGCUUUUUCGUCUUCUUUUAAAUUCCAGACAUUUGAAAGCGAUAAUGCAGCAUCAUUGUCUGAUAACAACAUGGUCAAAGAUUGCAUCAACUGGGAUGUCAAAAAAAUGGAUUGAACAACAUCAAUGGAGGAAUGAGAACCUUCACUUAGAACAAUGCCUUCUGACAUGGAUGAUGAACCAGUAAGGCUCUUCAGCAGAAACAACAUGGAAUCUAAAGACUCCUUAACCUGUAAAAUGAACUAACUUCAUCUUCCAAACUCAAAUAAUUAAAACAUGCAAGAAAAGAAAGAAUAAAUCAUACCCUAUGCAAAUCGGUCAUCCCGAUUGUAGUAGUCAAAUUCUCAUCCUCGCUAAUCCUUUGCUCUAAUUUUUGUAUCAAAUCAAGCACAUCAUUUGACUUUUUAUCAGAAGAAAUUGCAGCACCAUCAACAUCAUUCAUAAGCCCAAAAAGGCACUUCAAUAUCGAGAUUCCAUCCAAACUGUUAAGCAAAUAUCAUGAUGUGAUUUAACAUUUGAAAAAACAAUGUGUUGCCAUAUGUUAUUGAAAAACUUAGUCAUCAGGAAAACUAAUGUUUCAUGGACAUCGAUACAAGAAGCAGGUCUUUAGACAUGUGUCCAAGUAUUUGACUCAGCAGGAGGGAAAAGGGAGAUACCAAGAUAUGAUAACACAUAAAUUUAACUAACAUAUAUAUUUAUACCUUUAAACAAUAUGUGUUUAAACAUUAAAAAGAAAAUAUUAAAAAAUAUUGUUUGUUAAGAUCUUUUAAUAUUAUAUGCUUUCCAAACGUCCCAAUCAACUCAAGGAUAAAAGAAACAUAAUACACUGUAAAGUUGUUUCAACACCUACAUCCUAGACCAAUCUUGAAAAAGAACUACUUACGCCUAAUAUCAAAUUAGAGGAUAAAACUCUUGUUUGGAAGAGUUCAACUCUCUUCCAAUCUUUAAAAGUUGUCCAAAGAACUUCACACAUAUCCAAGUAUCCAAUAUAUAUCCAACUAUGACAUGUAUCCAACACUAAUUGUUUGUAUUGGAGCUGGAAGUGAGCGUCCAAGUAACACUAAAAAAAAUUGAUGCUAUCUUGUAAAAUGAUUAAAAAUAAAUAAAUACAAUUCUUAAAUACUUCACAGAAAAAGGUUCAAAACUACAACAAUAUACAAGAGAAUUACAAGAAUAAAUUUUUCUCUGAAUACAUUAUGAAAUUAUAGACAGAUAUCUUAGCCUAGAACAUAAGGUGUGAUGUUAGUUGACCUAAUGGGGAGACCUAACUGACCCCUGGCAUAUAUUGCACAGGUUAGUAAUUGGAGCAAUUUGUUUCUUUGAUCAGUGCAAUGACUGCACAAAAGAAGCAACAGAAACCAAAUCCUACCUGGUAUAUAUUGCACAGGUUAGUAAUUGGAGCAAUUUGUUUCUUUUAUCAGUGCAAUGACGGCACAAAAGAAGCAACAGAAACCAAAUCCUAGAUGUGCCCCUAUGCUGCUCUACAUCCAUCCAGAACAUGGAGGAUUUUUUUAACUUUCACUAUUAGGACCAACUUUUUAAAUACAUCAUCAAUGUAUUACACCUCUUAGACCAAAACAUGACCUCAUUACAAGAUACUUCACAAUAAGAGUUGAAGAUCUGAGCAAGGGGAACAUGCCAAGGCCAAGGAAUGGAAAAGGGCAAAAAAGAUGAUCGCAUAAUCAGAGAAAAAAUGAAAAAAAAUAAAAAUAAAGAUAACAGAUGUACAAGACACCCAAAAACAGAUAUCCUGCUUCAGGCAGCUGCAACUUGGCAGUAGAGGAAAAAGCAUACAGAAGAAACAUUUUAUCCUUGCUGUAGUAAAUCUUUCUGCCCAAAUAUUCUGAAAUCCUAACAUGGAAUACAACAGGCAAGACCGGCAGUCGGAAGGUAAAGACUUAUCUCAUAUACUGUAUAACUGUAGCCUUUCUGAAACCACACCAGCACUCAACUCGGAUUACUUGGCAUCCCAUGGAAAAUUUAUAUCAAUAGGCCAGAUCUAACCUCAAAAGUUGUAAGGACCAUAUGUAAAUUGCUAAAGGUAUGACAUUGAAGCACUUUCCAUUAUCAAAAAUGAUUUAAACUAUUUCCAAAAUCAAACCUACAACUCUAUCACAAAAAUUAUUCACCAAUUAAAUCCAUAUGGGAGGCAAAGGAUAUAGAAAAUCGUCAUAACUUGACAACAAAAAUGUCGCUAUGCAAAGAUAGUUCUCUUAUAGAACAGGCCAACAAAAAAAUUAUCAAGAGAUAAUGUUUUAAAGAUUUUUUUUAAUUUAACAAUAAAGCAUUUCUCUUGUUCAAAUUGAACAAAACUGGAGUAUAAGAAAAAAACCUGCAGAUAGCUAACCCAGCAUUUCUUUUGUUCAAAUUGAACAAAACUGAAGUGUAAGAAAAAAAAGCUGCAGAUAGCUAACCCAGCAUAAAUCUUUUUCUUUAAUGUAUCGUUACAAUAUUCUAGAAUGCCCAAGUAAAUAAUACCAGCAUUGCAUCAGAAUUCAUCAGCUUUUCAUAUUUUUAUUAAUCCAGCUCUCUUCAACUGUCUAAUUAAUUUCAAAAAAAAGUAGGUUAAUCACUUUCUGUAUCAGGUUCAAGUUCGUGGCUGUUAGGAGUCAUGUAAGUGGAGCUCCAUGCAGCUCAAGUUACACAUGUGGGCCAACCCUCUUGUUUGGAUGCAUACAACCCAAAUUGCACUAUAAAUUGAGUUUCUCAUUGGUCUACAAUACCGAGCUAUCUUGUGGUAGGUAAACUCAUGGUUAGAACGUCCAUAAGACGAGUUGCAGCGACAUAGAUAAGUAUUUUAAUUAAACAAAAAAGGGAUUUUCUUUCUAUUCCAUCUCAACUAGGUAUCUUAUUUUUUCCCAUUUUUUUUUUAAAAAAAGCUCCUCACCACCAACAGCUUCAAUGCUGACCUCUUCUAGAACACUUAUACCUUGAUGUAUGUCGAGUGCACUAACCUGGUGUCCACUUGCAAGGUGUUCGAUGGAAUGUCCAUCAGAGAUGCUCUUUUCCAAAAACUCUCCUCCAAAUACAAGAAGUGAGCUUUCUUAUUAGUCAACUACUGCAACUUUAAGUUGCAAUGUAACUUAAGUUGCAAUGCAAUUUCAACUCUAGGGCUCCAAACAGCCCUUUUUUUGUUGUCAAUGGCAAAAGCAUACCUUCAUUUUUUUAUUCAGCCAUGUGACUUCAAUCCUUACUCUCUAUAUAGUUUCUUCCAUCUCAACCAAAAUCUGCUACUUGGCAUUUGAGUAUGGCAAAAUUGUAAAUUUUAAACAAUGUAGCAUCUCCUUGUACUCUAUAUUGUAGACACUGAAGAAGAUAAUCUUCCAAGGAUGAGCAGGAACAUCUUCUAUAUAGCUUUUUCAGAGUUCACAAAAGCGAUUCGGUACCCAUAGAGGCACCAUGUUGGCGCAUUGCCAGUAUGCAUCAAUUUUGUGUGGUGACACUCUACACCCUCCAAACCAAGUAUUGGUUCAGUAUCGAAACAAUACGGUGUGCCUGGUAAGGUGUGGUAUACCCAGCAUGAUGUGGUAAACUCUGAUAUGAUGAACUUGGGUUUUUGUUUAACCUUCACCAGCCCAUGUUUCUUUUGGACGUAUUAUGUUGAUAAACCUUAUGUAAAAAGUAACUCAUCAAUUUUUAACAAAGAUAUCGAGAUCUGCAAAGGACAAUCACAUAUUCUAAAUAUGCAAUGUAAAGAGACCGUGAUCCACCUGGCCACUAGCCAAAAGUGUAGGAUCUAAUCCAGCAAAGAUCAAGGACACCAACAAACCAAAUUAUAACAAGUUGCCCAGCUAAUGGAACAGCAGUUCAUGAGAAUCUUAAAAGCACGAAUCCAGUAACCACUUCUAGAUCCAACACCUAUUUGAUGUAGAUAACUUUGGCUACAGUUUGUACAUAUCAAGUAUCUGAUCAGAUAAGUAUCAUAAACAGUUCUAAAUAGAAAAUGAAGUGUGGUUUGAGAAUGGGAUGAACAUCAUGGUUCAGCAAUCAUUGCUCUUUAAGCGAGCAUAUGCAGCAUGCUCAUACAAAUAAUAUUCUAAGUUAUUCCACCUAAUUUUAUGAUUUCACACCAUUUUUUUAUUCUAGCAUUCUUAGUCCAGAACAUUCUAAAAUGUUAUGUAUAUGAAGGAACAAAUGCUUAAAUUUAGUUUCGCCACAAAGUCGAUGGAAAUGAGACUGCUGGAGAACAACUUGAAGCACUCCUAAGAGCAUAUAAACAUGUAAAAGUUUCUAGCUUUUUAAUUUAAGUGUAAUAUGCUCUGCACAUAGGUGAGCUUUACACACUAACCAUCUCAAUAUUGAAUACUUGCUACAUCUAAGAACAUGGCAAAUGUUGCUACAUGCACAUCCAUGAUAAAUAAGCAGCACACAUGUUCAUGACAGGGUUUAUUAUUUAUUUAUGCAACAAAGGAAGAAUUUAGAUCAAAACCCUUAGAAACAAGAAAAUGAAAAGGUCUAAAAUCAAAUAUGCACAUAAACUCCCUGAUGCUAAAGAAUAUAUGCCAUCUAAUUUCAAGAAGAUGGGAGUAUAAGGACCAUUGAGACAUUCAUGUUCUCUGAAGUAAUCAUCCUUGAUCAAAUCUCAAGAAACCUUGCAGUUCCUUGUGCAAAGCAGUAACUAUUGCCGAACACUGAAUCAUAACCCUAAGAAGCUACCAUUGGUUUCAAUGUGAAAUAUGUCAUCUCUAAUCUGUAUCUAAAUAACAUUCAUACCUUCUUUUUACUUCACACAAUAAUAUAAAAAAUACAGUUUGUGCUUCUCCAGCCAUAGUUUCGGAAUUGAGGUACCUCACUAGCAUCUUUUCCCUUUUCUCAACCCAAACUACUGUAGCUACAAAUGAAAUGAUCUUCCUUGAGAAAAAAAUAUUUCUAUAUCAAAUUAAAUAGCAAAAUGUUUCAGAAUGCCUGUGCAAAAUCAUAAUUGCCUCCACAAAUCAAGAUUAAAAAAAUUCAACUUUUAGUCUUCCCUAUAACUGUUCUUUGUAACAAAUAUACUGAUGUUAGCGAUCAUCAGUAUUUCCUCUAUGUAAAAUGGACAAACCAAUCUGAUUCAUCAAGUAAAAUUAUUACACUUUAACACAAGCUUCCAUAAUGGUGAUAUAACUAUCUAAAAACACCUACAAACAUUCUCUUAUCCUAAAAAAAUAACAGAAGAAAAGUGAAAAGGUUAGAAUUUCAAGAAAAAACUUAGUUCUCUGUUUAACAAAAAUAGUACAAGAAAUCCAGUCUUUCCCUCUAUGCAGUGAAGCUAGGAUCAUUGGUAAAUCUUGCAUAUACAAAAGCAAAAAGUGUAUCUGGUGAAGUUUAGAUGAUGUAAGAACACUAUACUGGUAAAAAUGAUGUUAUGAAACUAAAUAUAAUCAAUCUAUCGAAAUGACAUGCUUUCAAUAUUGUAUAAGAGGAAGGUAGGUUAGCAAAGAAGAAGAAAUUCAACUUACGCAUCACUAUCCCUGUAAAGAGACAGAGCACUCAAAGACAAUGCAUGAGCUAUUUCAACUACAAAUGUCAGAGUACAGUCCUUCAAUUCCAGGGAUCUCAAAAGCUUCUUGAAGCAACUUAAGAAGGGGGGAGGCCACCUCCAGUCAUACUCAGUUGAAGUGGUACUAUCACCAUAUCUCUCAUCUCGCUCUGUUUGCUCAAGAGUAAAAGAUUGCAUUUUUGAAAAGAGGGAAGCAAGAGCACUUCUACCCGGACUGCAGGAAGUUAGUUCCUUGAAAGUCACAAGACAUGCCAACAAUUCCUUCCCAACUGGCAGAACCUGAUAAGAACAACUUUAUCAAUCAUGAUUGAGGAAAACUAAAUUAAAGGAAGAAAAAAUGUUCAAGAGUUAGCCGAAACAAUGAGCAAAUGAAAAGAAGGUCAAGGUAAAAUGAGUACUCUAUAAGAGACGAACAAUUGACUGGCAUAUCAAAUCAUGGAGAUAUGCAAAAGAUGGUCACUGCCCACUGCCUAGCAGCCAAAUGUUUUGACCAUCAUAAAUAAGGAGAAACCAUAUCUCAUCAUUCUAAAGUACAUUGUUGUUCACAAGAAUGAUAGCAAAACAAUGAGGUCAAUUUAUUCUUAAAAACAAAAACAUUAAACUGUUUCCAUACUAAGAACUAGUGUUAAAAUUGAUCAUGCAAAUGAAAUAUUUCAUCAUUUUGUGCAGAACUGACAGCAAAUAACAAUGUUACAACUUACAAGUGUAGAAAUAGGUUGUGCCAAGGAACAAUAAUCGUUUUAGUGCAUGAAUGCUAGCAAUGACUAUUGACAUAAUCCAUACAUAAACUAGUUGUCAGUAUUUAAACCUUUAAACGGUCGAAGGAGCAACAAGAAUCCACAGUAAAUAAAGUAAUAACAAACAUUUCACUAUUAAAAAAUGUGUUAAUAAUUAGCAGUUUAAAUUUGGAAACAAGUAUGCAUUCUGAUGAGAAAUUGAUGAGCCAUGAAAAGAAAAUGACAAAGUUCCUCCCGAAUUAGUUAUUAACUAAGAAAACAAGUUCACCUAUCUAUAAACAACAGCAAUUAUGGUGAACAAAUAUAUCUAAUUAUUACGUCCCAUUUGAUUUAUCCGGAUUUCCUGUACUUUUCAAUGUAUGCAUUAUUAGUUUAUUAAAAGAUUUCAUAUUUUCUUCAUCUAUCAGGCAACCAGUAGAAAGAAGCCUUUUUUUCUAUCAUAUAUGCUAAUUGGCCUGAUUAGGUCUAAUUAAAGAAAAAAAGUAAUCAACUAAUGUUUCAAUAAAAAUAAAUAUUCUGUUAUCUCAUAUCAAGCCUAGUAGUUCUGUUGGUAUUAAACAGUAUAAUGUCUUACUCCAUGCAUGUAAUAUGUUUCUUCUCACUACCCUUUGCCUUUUGCAUUAGAUACGUUAAACUUAGCUUGAUGUUUUAGUUUGGACUUAACAUUACUAACACAAUAGUAAAUCGCAUUAGCUUCUUGCAGAUCCUUCUCACGACAAAACUUCGAAAAUAAACAUAAGAAUAAAGUAUAGAAUUUUCCCCUUCCAACAUUUAAGACCACCAAUUUAAAGUUGCAAGACGAAUGCCUCAGCAAUGGGAAGCACCGAUCUCAACCUUACUCACCUGCUGGCAGAAUAAAAAAGGAUAUAUAUAUAUAUACUAUAUAUAUAUAUAUAUAUAUAUAUAUAUAUAUAUANNNNNNNNNNNNNNNNNNNNAUAUAUAUAUAUAUAUAUAUAUAUAUAUAUAUAUAUAUAUAUAUAUAUAUAUAUAUAUAUAUAGGGGUGCCAGUGCCUUAGGAUCUUCCAGAAGUUGGAUUUUUUUUUUAGCUUCUAGCAAUUAGCGUGUGAAUAAAAGAAAAAUGACUCUGAAUCUAUUCAUGUAACAGAAAAUGCUCCUCGAACAUUUAACUUCCUCCUAAACUUCUUUGUGAAUAAACUAGAUCUAGACGAAAAUAAAUUUGGGACAAGGACAUUUACACCAACUAGACUGCCAUGCUAACUUUAUCCCAACUAGACUGAGCUGUGUUAAACACUUGGACAGUAAACAUAUUUAGUUUGGUCACAUUGACCAGCUCCAAUUUUCUAUAACCAGAAUUUAUCCUGUUAUCUGAAUGAGUCUGGAUUUAGAAUUAUAAUACAAUGCAAAUGAUAAAAAUACACAUCCAAGUGAUGUUAAAUUGGCUAGCGUGGCUAGUGUACAGUUAACCUAAUCAACAGUGCUGUAAAAUCUUCAAAAAACACAGAACACAAAAUGUAAGAAUGCUCAAACCAAACAGAUUACAAAAGCAAUUGUAGGAUACCAUUUGGCCAAGAUGGUUAGUAGUCUUUAUCAUCCACUUUUAUUCAUAAAUAAAAAAACAACUUUUGAGAGAGGCACAUACCAUAGCUUCCAUGCACAGCUCUAAGAAGCAGCCAACGUGCAGGCAUCAAAGGUCCUACUUAGCAGUUUGGUGGUGUUUAGGCAUACAGGUGAAAGAAGAUGAAAAGGGCAGGAAAACAGGUGGUGGAGGCAGAAGAAAGGAGGCGAAGGUGGGGAAGAGGAGAACUAUGGAGAAAUGAACAAGGUGGAGGACGAAGAGGAAGAGGUCUGACCAGAUGGAGAAUGAGGAUGAUAGAAUGAACAAGGAAAGGUGGUGAAGCACGAUGAACUAGGAGAGUAUUUAUGAUCAAAUUUUAACCUAUUAUUUAAACAAAUUUUUAAAUCAAUGAUAUUGUUUCUAAUUAUAGAUCAUCUAAGUAGUAGGUGAUUGUCAUUCACAAAACAGUGGCAUAAGAUUUAACUUCAAUUAUCUUUGAGGUGAAAAUAUACACCCCAAAAGAAAUAAUUAUGCCAACAUAUUACAGAGGGCAAAUCAUUACUGAUCCAUUCCUGCAGUACAGUCUAGGAAAGCUUAUGUUGCAACAAAUGAGCGAGUUCAGUCAUGCAACAAAUGAGUUCAGUCAUAAGAAUGAGUCAUUUCCCUGCUCAAACACCUAUGAUGCACCCCAACAUGCUAUAUAUGAAUCGUAGCAGUCCAGCCCAAUCGCCAAGAAUGCACCUAUAUGCCCCUGCCCAGCACCUGUUUCAGAUUGAACACAUAUGACACCCUUUGGUGCUUGCAACCAACCAAAUCCCUUGGGUCAACCGCAACGCUCAUGCACAACUCCAUGCCACAGAAAAACUCUUCCUAACAGUGCUCCACAACACCAGGCACUUUUGUGCCAUUCUAAGACUUUGUGCCAUUCUAAGACUUUUGUGCCACAGAAAAACUCUUCCUAACAGUACUGCUCACCCAGACAGCACCUUGUCUAAAGCCUUGAAAUCUAUGAACAACCCUUUCCAGCCCCGAAAAUCCAAUUUUGGUGAAACAUCUAACGAUUCAAGGACGAAAAGAAACAGAAGUGAAAAGAUGAAGAAAGAUGAGGUGACCGGAGAAAGAAGGCUCAGUUUUUGUAUUUUCCUCCCCUAGUUCUUUUUUAUUUUUAUUCCUCAGCUUCCUCUACAUAUUGUCUGGCUCUUAUACUCGUUAAUACUGUGAAUGCUGCCUAUCAUAUUUCAAAGCUAACUUGCAUUCCUGUAGAUGCUAAAUAGGGCACUCUAUUGCCAUGCACACCACCUGUUCAUUAAAUUGCUAGUCCAUAUCCAAUGUAAACUGGUUGUGUGUGCAGCCCAAAUCAAGCUCCCAUAUGCAUUCAAUACACAUCAUAUGCACAGCCAACUACAACAUAACCUGACUCCCCUAUGAGGCCCAAAUUUAGCCUUAUAUGAUGACCAAGUUGAACUCUGCACAGCCCAAGUCCAGUCCCUAGUACACCCAAAACUGAAUCUGUGUCAGCAGCCUAGAUACAGACCAAACUGCUCCUAUUGGUAGCUCAACAGCAUCUCCAGCACACAAAUCAUAGUCAACUAUAAGACAGGCUCGUUUACCGCCAAAAUCAGUCUAUAUAUGCAAUCCUCAUCCACCUCGAAAACAGCCAUCAUUUGCAGCACAUUUCUAGCUCUAACUUACAGCCCAAAAAACAGUCAAUGCUCGCAGCCCAGACAGUCCUCUUUGAUCCCUCCAGAGCAGUCAAAAUGCAGUCCAUUUAUGUUGUCUAAAAGGAGCCCAGUGUCGCCCAGAUCUACUCCUAAAAACUGGUCAUACACAAUCCACUUAUGCAGCAGCUUACAAUAGUUCAUGUGAGCUGUUCAAAAGAUAGUUCAAUUACAGUUUAGGCCUAUUUCCAAUGUGGUCUUACGUCCUAACAGAUUUGUGGCCAUAUUCCUUCAGGCUGUCCUAACCUGAAACCACAAGAUGCAAGCAAUGGGCCUAUAGCCAUGUGCCUUCAAGGUGGUUUAACCCAAAAAGGAUACAUUUCAAGAAUAGGUCCAUAGCCAUAUGCCUUCAGAGUCGCUUGGUCCAAAUAAAUGAAACUCCAAUAUUGGAGCUUGCAACCAUAUACCUUCAGGGCAUCUAGCCCAAAAGGAAAUUUUCAAGAAUUGGUCCUUUGUUUGUAUGCAUUUGGGGUGGCUUAAGCCCAAAAGGAGAAUCAAGAACGGGUCCACAGCCAUAUGCCUUUGAGGGAGCCUAGCACAAAAGGAAAAUUUCAAGAAUGUGCUUAGAUCCAUAUGCCUUCAGGGUGGCCUAAUCCGAAAAACUAAAAUUUCAAGGAUAAGCCUAAGCUGUGUCCCUUCACGGUAGCCUAGUUCAAAAGGUUCAACUUUCAAAAUUGGAUCCAUUUCCAUACAUUCAGAAGUGGUCCUCAAAAAACAGCAUAGCCCUCCAAGUCUUCAAACUAAAAAAUAACGUGGAUAAGUCUAAGAUAAACACUAGGUCUCUAAAUUUGGGAUGUGCCCCUCAUUAAGCCAUAUAAAUUAGAUUGGACAACAAUAAAAUUACAUUUUCAAUUUAAUUUUCUUAGCAUUUUCUUUAAGUAUCUGAAUUGGAGAUGCCUGAUUAAUAAAGUGUAAUUAUUAGGGCUCUGAAGCUUGCCAAAAGCCAUGGACCCACAUAAACAACAAGCCUUUUUUUGCAAUUUGAUGAGAUCAACUUCUAAAAUUAACCGGCAAUUCCUCAUCUCUCUAGACCCCAAAACCAUCACCAGGGCAUAUUUGUGAUCCCAUAAAUUCUAGCACGCCUGAUAAGACUUGGCUUCUUCUCCCUUUCGUGAGAUCUCAAGAACAAUGCAAAAAGUAAAGGAAAACAUUUAUUGAUCGAGUUUUUUAUUCAACAAGAGAAGUUUCACUCAAUCAGUAAUCAUUGUGUAUGCUAGGAGGAUGUCCAUUGCUGCUACACCAGCAACCCAACCAACACCAUCUGCUUGUGGUCCAUGUUUCAUGUUUGCAUGUCACAAAGUAACAUUGAGGCAGGUAAUGUUUAAGCUGCAAUUAGGGUUGAAAUCAUCCAUGACAUAGCCCACUCCUGCUACUGCAACUACCACUUGCAUAUGCAGAAGUAAGGAGGUUGUCCCUACUCAAAUUCCUACUGGGGGCAAUAUUAUCAUGGAAGCUGUUGUUUAUGCUACAAUUAGUCCACAUCUGCCAUCAAGGUAUAAGAGGCCAGAUAUGAUUAUGCCUGUGCCCUCAAGCAACACUCCACCACUCAAAGGUUGUCUACUUUUCAUAGGUUAUGCCCACUAACUUCGACAUCCAUGAGGACAGUUUGUUGCAACAUCAUUGGCUUAAUAAAUACUAGCCCAUUCACUUUUACCACAGAAGACAUAAACAGUGAAGUUUCCAAAAGGUUCUCCUAUGCUACGAUCACUCAGAACAUUGCAAGGAAGUUCAUGAAAGAAGACAUAACGAUAUUCAUCAUUGCACUUAUGCAAAUGACAACUCUGCUGGGGGUUCAGAGUGUUCUAGAAAACAAGUUCAUCAAACCCAUGAUGAUUGCCAAACCAAUUUUUUUAUGGCCAAUUCAUAUGAUCCAUUGAAAUAUGUAAAAAAGAAUGCUACCAUUGUGAAGUAUCGUGACAUCCCAUCAGGCUCUACUCAUUUUUCUCAAUUCACUUACUGCUACCACUACAAAUUUCACAGGAAAUGUAAUAAAAGUUUACUCUUGAAGACAAGCUCUAGCUCCAGCUCCCCUCACAUACCAUUUCCAACAAAAGGAGUUUACUGAGAACAGAAUCUAAAACCCUACAGCAAUUAUCAGCCUACUCAAUUCCAAAGCAUCUAGCUUGUUAUUGAGCAAAGUAUUCCUGUCGACAAACACUAAGGUCCAGUCAAGGUGGACUUCACUAGAAAGAUUUAAAAUCAUGGUCUUGCAGUUGUCAAGAAAAAAGCACAUGGAGGCAAUAAAGUUGUAGAAACCCAAGUCCAAGCAUUAAAAGCCAAUGAUAUCUCUUUGGCCAUUGACAGCUUGGUAGCCUCUUCAUAUUAGUCAUCAUUUCUUCAGUAGCAAAUAAACACAAAUUGCAGGAGAGCUUUUGCCACCUCAUUUGUUAAAUGUUGCUUACCACCACAAAUAAAGAAGGGUCAAGAACACUAUGAAUUCAAUGUCCUUUUUCUUUGAUGAUAUUAUCACAAACCGAGGGAAUGAAAGGUGUUUUACCAUAGCCAAGACGAGGAUUCUAGGGGGUGAUUGCUAAGUGCAAUGGUAAAAGGGUUGGGAUUGCAAGCACAUCGCAUGGGAUGAAGUCUUGGGGCACAAUAUUUGUACAAAAAAAAUACCAAAAAUUAGGUCUAUGACCAAUCUGCUCCUCCCACGACACUAGAUUGUUGGGACCAUGGUUCGCCGAAUCGGCCUGAACUGAACGGUUCAAGGCGUGUCGAACCAUACCGGCGGCCCUUCGGUGCGGUUCGGUUGUUGGAUUCAGAACACCGACGAAAACGAAGUGAGGGAGAAAGAGAAGAAGAGAGGGAGAAGGGGAGGGAAAGAGAGGGGAAGGCUGGCGGUGGCCCACCGAGGCCGUUGGAGGCACAGCCGAAGCCUCCCAGGCUCCGCAGUCUUCCAUGAGAGACUGAGAAGAGAGAUGGAGAGGGAGAAAAGGAGAGAAGAGAGGGAAGGCAGGAGGGAGACCAUCGGAGGGCCAUUGGGUGGCCAUCAUGGCCGUCGGGCAGCCUAAGAAACCCCCAUGGGGUUCGAAAUAGAGACUUCACUCCUGUUUUGUCGGAUUUUUUUUUUUUAAAAAUAGACGAAGUGAAGCCAGCAAUGGAUUUUUUACUCGACAACCUUCCUACUGUCUUCUCUUCCCUCCUCUCCCCUCCUCUCUUUAUAUCUCUCUUCUCAAUUUCUCUCGCAAAGGACCACGAAGCCCAGGAGGCCUCGACAACCCUCCAACAGCCUCCCAACCCUUCGGUGACCACCACAAGCGUCUCCACCGACCAUCCGUUCCCUCCCUCUCCCUCCCCCCUCUCUCUCUUUUCCUACUCAAUUCAUCUCCUGUUUUCACAUCGGUUUGGAUCCGGUACGGUCCGAUACGAGAGCAUACCAACUCGUACUGCCAACCAACCAAUACGAGGUUCGAUUUCGAAUCGACGAUCCUUGGUUGGGACCAUAAUUGGGUAAUGGUCAAAGAGUGGAUUUUCAUCUCAAAUGACAUCUCAAAAGCAAAGCAUGUACCAAAACAUUAUUUGCCUGCCAAAUUAGUAUUGCGACAAUCAUCCUUCUCAAAUCUUAAGCCAAGUCCUAGAUGGCUCUUUUAACAGUUUUAAAUGGGAUUCAAAAUUUGACUUCUUUAAGGGUUACAUUGCAUAAUAGACCCUCCCACCCACUCCUUGAUGGAAAAUUGUGGACUUAUAUUACAAUCUUCAUAAGAUCAAUAUAGCCUUACCGUUUAGCUUCAAAAGAUAAGUUUAAGGUGAUUGUAGAACUUCAUAGCAUUUAUUCAAGCAGAGGAUCAACUUCUCCAUUCUUCUUAGUUUGUGGUGGGCAAUUACUUCAAAGAAUAACAAAGAAAAAAGAUUGUUAACAAGCUUGAAGCACUUAAGCUUCAUUUGGCUUGGAAGCCAAAACUUCCCUCGAGUGGCAUGUUGUGACAUUCUCUAUUGAGCUUACCAUCCAAAACAAACAAAUAGUUGAGGGGCAACCUAUUGCUAAUAAAACCUUCAAAUGGAAAACAAAUUAAACAUCCUUCGUUGCUAAGAAUACCUAGUCUUUAACACUCAGGUCAAGGAGAAAAUUACUUCUAAAUUAAACAAUUCAUUGAGCUCUGGGAUCCAUUAUACCUUGGCUAAAUUUGGCAGUUAAGUGGAGGCAGCUAUGAACAAGAAGUUAUUAUGUCCUUUACUACAUCCUUGGAACAAUUCAUAUGCUAGCUGGAUAAGUGAUUGUUAAGAAUAAAACAUAUGUGUUGGACUUUAAGUUAUGUGGGCCUGUAGGUAGUCCACUUAUUAGUGGUUUAUGUUGAGUAGGCCUUUAGGCCCUAUAUGAUGUCUAUAUAUAUGUAACUCAGGUCAAGUUAAUUAAAUAAAAUCAUUUUUUUCUUCACUUCAACAACAUGGUAUCAAAGCCAAAAACCUAACCCUAGCCAAAGCAAGCUGUCGCCGCCCCUUUCUUUGUUUAGCCGCCAUCUCCUUGCCGCCUUCCAUCAUAUUCUAUCUGCCAAAAAAAAACCCUAACCCUCCUUGCUGCUGCUCCUGAUAUCCUUGCCGCCACCCCCUUUCUCUAUCCAACCGCCAUCUUCUUGCCGCCUCCCAUCAUCUGAUUUCCUUGCUACCACAUCUCUCUCCAUCCAGCCGCCACUAAAAGGUGUGUUUGACAUUCCCAAACAAUCCUAAAAGGAUUGGGAAGGAGAUCAAGCACUAGAUCUGCAUCUUUGCAGCCCUUGCCGACCACCAGAUCUGCACCAAUUUUGCCCUGGAACCAGAUUUGCAGAUCUGCCAUACCGCCAUCCAGUUCAGCCCUUUUACAAUCUACUGCUUGUGUCUUUAUGUGUUUACUGGUUUGUGCCUCUCAGUUCAGAUUUCUUGCAAUGAUUGUGGAGUUUGCUUUGAUGGGAUGUAGGUUGUGUGAUGAUAACCUAUGGAUUAGGAGUCUCAAGUAGAGAUGAUUGGGCUAAUCCCAAGGUGUUUGUGGUAGCAUGAUGCGAGUUGUGGAGGUGUAAGGGUGUAGUUUGUUGUGUUACAUUUUGGAUUAAUUGAAAUAGUGCAGUGUUUUGAAUAAUGGCAUCAGGAGAGGGCCCUAAGAGUGUUAAAGUGGUAUCCUCACAUCAGAAAUUAAUUGAUGUGAUGCUAGCUGGUGAUAGAUCCAAUUUUAUGGAAUGGCGUUUUCUUGUCAAGGUCAAUGUUAAAGGACUUAGCAAGGAAGAACAGCUUACUGAGUUAUAUCCUGAGGGAGAAAGGGAAGUCAAACUGUGGCUGGCUAAAGAUAAGAGUGUUUUCUCAGAUUGUCAAUUGCAUUGAUAGAAAGAUGACUCUCUCAAUGCAGCAUGUUACGACGGUGAAAAAGCUGUGGGAGUUAUUGCAUCAAUAUUUUUCUAGGACUAGAAAUAUGAAAAGAUUAUAUAGUUUAGCUCAAAAGGUGAGUCAUCUAAGUCAAAAUGGACGAAGUAUCAUGGAGUAUUACUAUGAGUAUAAACGAGCCACAGAAGAUUUUUGUACGGCAAUGCCGAUCUCCACUGAUGUAGCUAUGAUGGAGCAGCGUGAGAGACUAUUUGUAUUUAGUUGGUUGUCUGAAUUGGAUACAAAGUAUGAGGUGAUUCGAUCACAGUUGUUAGCCAACAAGGAUGUGGAUUCUUUGUUCAAUGUUGUCACUACUGUACUCAGUGCAGUCCAAGAGAGUACCUUAGGUACUAAGGAUAUAUCUGAUGGAUCUGCCCUUGUAUCUCAGAGUAAUGAUGGUGGUGGAUAUAGAGGGAGAGAUGGAAGAUGGGGUGGUAUUAAAGGAGGACGUGGUGAUAGAGGAUAUAGUGAUCCUGGGAGCCAAAGGGUAUGCUAUAAUUACGGAGAACCAGGAUAUUUUUAUCAUCAAUGUCCUAAACCUCUACAGGCACAGCGGAUACAGUCUCAGUAUCAGGCACCCAGAUUUGCUCAUACUGUAUCACAUCCAGUUGAUUCAAUUACUCAUUACCUCGAGGACCGGACCAUAGUCAUAUCUGAUGAGGAGUUUGCCAGGUACACCUAGUUUCAACAGUCUCAGCAAUCGACAUCCUCCUCUAAAGCUACUCUAGUCAAAACAGGUAAUCCCGUCGCCUACCUUUCAUCCUCAUCCCGAUACUGGAUCAUUGACUCAUGUGCCACCGACCACAUGACAAGUGAUCAAGGUAUCUUAUCCCAUUAUAAACCAUCUGAUGAGUGCUUUAAUGUAACACUAGCAAAUGGAUCCACUACCAAAGUCUUAGGUAGUGGAGAUACAUCCAUUACCUCUUCGCUACUCUUGUCUUCUAUUUUAUAUCUUCCUAAAUUUUCUUUUAACUUGAUAUCUGUUAGCCAAAUCACUAAAGUCUUAAAUUGUUGUGUUACAUUUUUUCUGGCUACUGUUUGUUUCAGGAUCUAUCGACUCGGAAGAUCUUUGGUAGGGAAAACGAGUCAAACGGAUUGUAUCUGCAGGAUGAGGUUGCUACUACUAUCCCAUCUGUUGUUACACCUACCAUCAGUUCUGACAUCUCUACAUUCCAGCUUCAUUGUCCCCUUGGUCAUCCAUCUCUAAAAGUCUUAAAGAAAAUGUAUCCUGAGUUAAGUUCUGUAACUAGUUUAUCUUGUGAGUCAUGUGAGUUUGCUAAACACCAUCGGAUGUCAUAUCCUCCAAAAGUAAAUAAACGAGCCUUGUCCCCUUUUGAUCUAGUACACUGAUGUCUGGAAUCUAUGUCCUGUUACUUUCAAGUCUAGCUUGCGAUAUUUUGUAACUUUUGUUGAUGAUUAUUCAAAAAGUAUUUGGUUAUACCUAAUGAAAUCUCGAUCUGAGUUGUUUUAUACUUUCUCUACUUUUUGUUCCGAUAUUCGUACUCAGUAUAAUUACAAUAUUCGUAUUCUUCAUAGUGAUAAUGCCAAAAAAUAUUUUUCUAAUCAAUUUAACACCUAUAUGACAUAGAAUGGCAUUAUCCAUGAAUCAUCAUGUGUUGUUAUCCCUCAACAAAAUGGAAUAGCUAAGAGGAAGAACUGUCAUCUCAUAGAAGUUGCUAGAGCCUUAAUGUUUCAAAUGAGAGUACCUAAAAUGUUUUGGGCAGAUGCAGUUUAUACUGCUGCAUUUCUCAUAAAUCGCAUGCCGUCCUCUGUUCUUAAUGGUCGUGCAACUUAUAUAGUUUUAUUUCCUACCCGAUCAUUGUUUUCCAUUCCUCCAAAAACAUCUGACUGCAUUUGUUUUGUAUAGGACAUGAGAUCCCAGAUCAGUUAGUUGGAUCCUCGAUCACUAAAGUGUGGCUUUUUUGGAUUCUCCCGUACACAAAAAGGAUACCAAUGUUAUUCUCCUAUGUUAGGUCGAUAUCUUGUCUCUCGAGAUGUCACCUUCUUUGAAUCGAAUCCUUUCUUUGCUAGUCCCUCUCCUUCUACUUCUGAGAUAGAGUCUAUAGAGGACUUUCUGAUCUACACAGUCAGUUAUCCCACCUCUACUGCUUCAUCUGAUCCACCUCGUCCUCCCAUUACUUAUGUCUACACCCGUCGAGACAAACUUCUCCAAUCAGAUGUUGCAGGUCUUUAACCAGCAGAUCCACCAAUGGCUAUCUCAUCCCUACCAACUUUCGCAUUGUUUGAUUCUGAUCUUGAUCUACCUAUUGCUCUCAGAAAAGACAAAUGCAAUUGUACCCAUCCUAUUUCAACCUUUGUUUCCUAUAACCAUUUAUCACAAUCAACCCACUCCUUUGUUACCUCUCUUGAUUCUAUGACUAUUCCUAAGACACUAGAUGAGACAUUGUCACACAAUGGCUGGAGGACAGCUAUGGAGGAAGAAAUGUCAGCUCUUGAGGCUAAUGGUGCUUGGGACUUGAUUUCUAUACCAUCAGGUAAGCGUAUUAUUGGGUGUAAGUGGGUAUAUGUGGUGAAGAUGAAGACUGAUGGUUCUGUUGAUAGAUUGAAAGCUCGUUUGAUAGCUAAGAGAUAUAUCUAGACUUAUGGUGUAGAUUAUACUGAUACUUUCUCUCCUGUGGCUAAGAUGACAUCUAUUUGAAUAUUUAUUUCCUUAGCUGGUGCUAGUUGUUGGCCCAUAUAUCAGUUAGAUGUCAAGAAUGCAUUUCUUCAUAGUGACUUGCAGGAAGAAGUGUAUAUGGAGCAACCCCCUAGAUUUGUUGCUUAGGGAGAGUAUGGUAGGGUAUGCAAAUUGAAAAAAUCAUUAUAUGGGUUGAAGCAAUCUCCCAGAGCUUGGUUUGGCGGGUUCAGUGAUGUGGUGAUAGAGUUUGGCAUGAAGAGAAGUUCAUGUGAUCAUAUUGUGUUUUUCAAACAUUCUGACAAAGGUUGUAUUUUGUUAAUUGUAUAUGUUGAUGAUAUUGUGAUUAUAGAGAGCGACGCACAUGAUUUUUUUUUCACUAAAAGAGUUUCUUCAGGCAAGGUUUCAGACAAAACAUUUGGGACAAUUGAAAUACUUUCUUGAGAUUGAACUGGCUUACUCGAAAAAAUGUAUAUUUCUUUCUCAAAGGAAGUAUGUUCUAGAUCUUUUGACAGAUACUGAUAUAUUUGGAGCAAAGCCUUGCGAAACUCCUAUGGAUCCAAAUGUCAAACUUGGAGCAGAAGGGGGGGAGAUGUUUACUGAACUAGAAAAAUACAGAAGACUUGUUGGAAAACUCAACUACCUCACAAUCACUCGUCUAGGCAUUGCAUUUUCUGUGUGUAUUGAGUCAGUUCAUGUUAGCACCCACUACUGUACAUUGAGAUGCCUUAAUCCACAUAGUAAGGUACUUGAAAAGAGACCCAAGAAAGGGUAUUGUGUAUGGAGAUCAUGGUGGUAUACAGAUUGAAGGGUUCACUGAUGCUGAUUUGGCAGGUUCGCCUAAUAAUAAGAAAUCUACAACAAGAUAUUAUGUAUUUAUGGAAGAAAAUUUAGUAUCUUUGAAGAGUAAAAAGCAAAAUAUAGUGUCUCGAUCUAGUGCAGAAUCAGAAUACCAAGCCAUGGCACAGACAACAUGUGAAUUGAUGUGGAUUCGAUAUUUUCUAGAAGAGAUUGGCUUUACAGAUUCUUCUCCUAUGAAGCUGUGGUGUGAUAAUCAGGCAGCUAUGCAUAUUGCAUCAAACCCAGUGUUUCAUGAGAGGACGACGCACAUUGAAGUUGAUUGUCACUUUUUGAGGGAGAAGAUUCAGCAAAAGCUCAUUUCCACCAAUUACAUACACUCAGAGCAGCAACUAGCCGAUCUGUUUACAAAGAGUCUUACCCAAGCUAGGAUUGAUUACAUUUGUAACAAGCUGAGCAUGAUUAAUAUCUAUGCUCCAGCUUGAGGAGAGUGUUAAGAAUAAAACAUGUGUUGGGCUUUAAAUUACAUGGGCUUGUAGGUAAUCUACUUAUUAGUGGUUAUGUUGAGUGGGCCUUUAGGCCCUAUAUGAUGUCUAUAUAUAUAUAUAUAUAUAUGUAACUCAGGUCAAGUUAAUUAAAUGAAAUCAUUUUUUCUUCACUUCAACAACAGUGAUGAUUCAUCAUCAAUAUUCAAUAGACGCUAUAAAGGCUACAGGCAAAAAGUACACUUCUAUGAUCGCUGUUUGGACCAAAAUGGAAGGAAAAUAAAAAUUCACCCAUUCCAAGGGAAGAUAAAUAUCUGCAUCAUACUUGUUCAUCACAAAGGGGAACACGUAUUGAAGUCUCAAAAACUAGUACCCUUCUACAGACUGGUCUUCUAAAUGAAGAUAAAUGCAUGCUUAGCCCUUGGAUCCACUUCAUUGUAGCAAAAUUUAAUUAUCCACUUCAGCUAACUAAGAAAACAUCAAGUGAUGACAUAAUUUCAACAAUUUUCUCACCCUAUAAUUUCAUAAUAGUGGAAAGACAUCAGCAGCCAUUGACCCUAAAUCCUCAUCUGUAGAAUUAAAAAGUCUUAUACAGUAAAAUAAAUGGAAAAAAGGAAAAGGAAAAGGAAAGGGGAAAAAAUAGGAUGUCUCCUUCCUUAAUGUGUUGUAAACAAAAUUGUGCCAUAAUUAGAUGCAAACUCACAUCCUCACUAACAUUCAGUGGUUGACUGAAACAGCAUUCUGACAAUACAUGACAAGGACCAGCAACAAAGAGACAACAACAGCAACAUCAUCAUCAUUGAUAGAAGAUAUGCCAAAUGGUAUAAAAUCACUUGUGCUGGUAAUACAAAAAGUUUGAACAUAAAACAAAACAUCUUGACUGUCUUUAUUAUUUAUGCUAUCUUAGGUCAUUGCAUGAACUGAAAAGUAUUGAGCCAUUCCCUCAACCUCAGGUCCCCAAAAUAUUGUGGAUAUCUUAUCAAAAGUUGAAGAAUGAAUAAUGAAAAAGGUCCAAGAACAGGCAACAGGAAGGGUUCAAAAGGCAUCACCCAAAAAAUUAAAAAAAAUAAACAUAAAAUAAACACCACAUUGUGUCCCAAACUCCUAACAUGAUCUCCAUAUAAAGCCAAGAUUUUAAAUUCCAUGGGACAGGGCUGUCCCGAUUUUCCCAUGGAACAGGACGCACCACUAUCCCGCCCCAUCCCGACACUUGGGAUAGAAGAUGUCUCAAGACAUCCCGAUCAGGACGCUGGGAUGCUAGCGGGACAUUCUAUCCCAAUACAUGAAAUGCUACCCCAUCCCAGUGUCCCGUGGAACAUCCUGCUGGGAUCUGAAUCCUUGCAUAAAGCAGCCAUUGACACUUUAGGCGCUGUGAAGGGAAAUGACAGAAGAUUUCUUUGUAGUUCAGCAAGGCAGUAAGCCAUACUGUUUACCGGGCAUCAUUCUUCUGCUUAACCAUUUAUUCAAAAAGAAAAUGUGAGUAACAGCUUUAAAUGGAUGACUUAUGAAUGAAACAAACAUUUUAUCACUUAAAAAUAUUUAAAGGAAAAUAACUUCUGAGGAAUAUUCAGCAUUGUAAACAAAGCGCACAUCAAAAAUAAUGUGUGAUGCAUGCUUCAAUUAGUAAGAAAGAAAAUUGGUUCAGAAAAAGAAAAAUCAUACACACUCCUUAAAAUAUCAAAAGGUAACAUUAAUUUGGAUCACAUACGAAUGCAACUAGCACAAAUGACCCUCUCUUUGAUUUGAGAUAUUGAAGAAGUUCUUAAAGCAUGCAUUUCCUAAAAAACUACAUGACACUACCAAAAUAAAUAAAAAUAAAUAAAUAAAAUCGCUGGAGUAGUAAGUUACCUGACAUAACUUGAGGACAUGAUGCACAAUCAAGGAAUUUUCUUCAAUAGCAAUAUUUUCAUUUAAACACCUGCAUUAUGAGAGUAAAAACAAUUUAUAUUCUCAAGAAAAUGCAAAAUCAGAAUGAAAUAUCGAAAAUCAGAAGUCAGUUUUGGAUUCACUCACUUAUCAGGUACUCUUUUUUCGUUUAUAAAUGACUGGGGAUUAAAAAUCAAUGCCAAGGACUUUAAUACAGGAAGGCACCAGCUAAAAAAUGUGACACUUUUAUAAGGAAGUCUGCUUUCCAGAAUCAGCUUUCCAUCUGAGUUAAACACACUGCUACAUCUCUUUAGUACUUUUCCUAAAAUUGUGACAGCCCCCAUCUUACAUACUAAUACCUGGAUAAGUCAGGAAAUUAAAACAAGCACAUAAAUGGCACAUAGACUAACAUGAUACAGCUGCAAAUUCAGUAACCUUGGCAUGCGGAUGCUCCAACAGAUUAGCAACAAAAUGAAGCAACCGAAGCAUCUGAACAGAAAACACAAAUCAAAUUUUAGAUCAUUUGGAGUGACCAUAACAAAAAUAACAGAGAAUUUAUCACCUUGAAAAUAUCCAUGUCAGACAGGGAUGUUUCAUCAACAUGAUUAUCCAUCCAUAAAAAUAUUGGUCGUAGAAGGACAACUGCACAUUCUGUCCUUUGGCAGGCAACACGAAUUAUGAAAACACGAAGCAUAUCUUGUAUGACCACCAAAGCCUGAGUAAUAAAUUAAUUGCAACAAAGAUUAACAUCUAAAUAAUUUAUUGUGCAUAAUCAACAUUUGAUCACCUACCAACAUCUAGAAGAAAAAAUAAAAGAAGCAAGAGAAAGCAACAUCUUAAGACAGGACAUACAGUAGAGGCAAAAUGCAGGACAACUUGUGCAAUUCUGUCAAGUUGUGGCGUCAGCCGAAUGAGUAGCACUGCUAGGUGUUCUGGCUGUAAAUACCAGUUGAUGUCUCUCUCUGCUUGAGGUCCUAAAAUCGACCCAAUACUCAAAAUUCUAAGAGCAGUUAAAGGGGGAAUAUCGUAUUUCCAUAGCCAUAUACCUUCCUCUGGAAAUAGAUCACCCUUUUGGUGCAUAAAAGUCACAUAUUAGAGAAUGCACUGGUUAAGUAAAGAAUCUAAAUAAUGAGAGCCAGACUCUGACUUAUCUAGAUAUUUAAAAUUAUGUAUGCAAAAAAAAAAAAUCAGAAUCUCCAGGAGAGGCUCCAUGAAGUUGUUAGCAUUAUUACCAGUAGGCAGAGCAUGCUGCAGGCAUCCUUUGGACCCAAGGCUAAUGAUGAAGUAGCCUGAACACUUUCAAGAAGACAAUGAAAUAGACCAGGUGUCCAACCAAAUAUAGGCCAGCAAGCAAGUGCUGAUGUAAGUAGCUGACAGACGGCACCAAAACCAAGUGCAGAGCUCGCAUAUGGAAAAGACAAGUCCACUGCACAAGCUGCUAAUUUUGGGCUGCAACUUGAACACUCAGGAUUAGAAAAAAUACAUCAACCAUAAAGGAACCAAAGGAAAAUUAAAAACAAAGUACCUUACUUCUCGAUGCAGUUGUAGAAGUGCGUUAAGCAAUUUUUUGUUGCGAUACUGCUCCUUUGUUCCCUACAAAUGCAGUGCCUUUUUAACUUAAAAGCAUACAAAAAACAAAUAGUGCUUAUUAACCUUAAUUGGUUAAAAAGCUAUCAAUUUUUAGGUCAAAGAAACAUUUUUCCUACAAACAUCACAAUACUUUAUUUUCGAUGCAAUGGAGAUAGAAAGACGAUGGACCCAUUAUUUUGUAUUGAAAUUGCACUCUGCCAAGAUAGAUCCGAUACUUCCAUAAAAUGCAACUCAAGUAAUUUUUGAUGAUUCUUUUUGACAUAGAUGCCGAAGUUAAUAGCCACUAAAAUGAACAUGACCCAACACUCUUGGACAAUGGAUGUCAUGUCGAGCCUCGUUCCCUAUCCCCUCCCGCACUCAGGAUGGUGCCCCAUCCUGCCACUCGAGAUGGUGGGACAUCCUGCAGUCCCACGAGGACAUAAAUCCUCGAAUACAACAUAAUACAAAUAUUUUGAUAUCGCAAAUCUUCAAAAAAAUUGGAUAUGAUACAGCUUGGAUACACUGCAAAUAAACACAUAUUAUUUACAUAUAUUUAAAAAGGAACAAUUGUUUUAUUUCCAUCCUGCAUACAUGUACCGGCAUCUGAUAAAUAUUGGAUAUAGUUAUGGCACGAAAAAUUCCAGUAUCCACGUACCCUGUGGACAAGUUGGUGUAAUUCAAAGACCAAGACUGCUUAGCCUGGUCAAGACACUAACUAAACCACAGCUUCUAAAGAACCAUCUUUCAAACACUGGGGACAUUCAGAUACUAAAAUGCAUACCCUUCUGCAGGACCAUGAAUUUCUCAACCUUCCCAAAUAACCCAGAUUGAAGUUCUACAUGCAUGGAUGAGAUAUCAAGGAACAGGAAGGAGCACCAAUCAGUAAUCAAGCCCAAAGAGUCAUACAAUCUAUACGAAGGAGAAAUUUAUAUUAGUCUAUGAAUAGGAGCAAUAAUGGCAAUUUUCUUCGGUAAGGAGACUAAGUAGUGAACUUCGAUAGUGGUUGUUAUGAACCUGUAUGUGACUUUUCACUUCAAUGCUUUCAGUUUAGAACAUAGCAAUUUCACAGAUUUGGUGCAGAUAAAUCAGAACGUGAUGAAUGCCAAAGAAGCAGUUGACUCUCCAUUAAUUAUCACUAGAGAAAACCUAGUUCACAAGUCCUUGAUGCGAUAUAAAAAUACAUAAGGUGUAAUUAUUUGCCAACAUGUUUUAGAUUCAGAGCAUUAAACAAGGAGAACAUGCAUGCUUAUGCAAACACUAACAUAAUCAUCCAUACACACAAAAUUCCUAGAUCCGACUUCUAACAUUUAGUUUCUAAGAAGAAGUAAAAUGUUAGCAACUCGAUCAAAUUAUAUUCUUAUGGAUUUUUCCUGCUGCAUGUUUCAUAACUGGGAGAACAAGGUCUAAGCAACCAUAGAACAUGAAUUUUCAGAAGCAUAUAUUGGCAUCCACAAGAGUCUGCCUAGUAUCCAUGGAACUAAAUUGACAAUUGCACUACUAAGUAGAAUAAUGAAUAUUUAAGGAUGCAAAUAGGUCAGGUCGGACCAGGUCAUGAGUGGCACCGACGUAACCUGGUUUCUUGAUCAAGUCCUAGUGUUGGACCCAAACCGAUCGAGUCGGGUCAGGUCCAAGGCCAAAAUUUUUAACCCAAACAAAUCAUUCGGGUCAGUUCGAGUCCAUGUAUAACCAAACCCAACUCGAAAAAUUGGGGUCCGGGUCAAAUGUUGCCAACCAUAUUCUAAUUACCACAUAACCAACUACAAUCAACCAAACAAAAUACAUAAUAAACAAUAUUAUUCUCAAAACAAAUUGGGAUAUAAAACUAAUUUGAAACAUCACUUUAUGUUAAAGAUAUUACUCAUACAAGUCUUAUAUCACAAUCUAGAGGCUCAAAUAGGUUCGGAUCCUAACAGUGUAGCAAGUUCAAGUCAAGUUGGGUUAAGUCCAAAUUCAAUAAACCCAGACCCGAUCUGAAAAAUAGAAGAGAUCCAAUUUUAGAACCUGACUCUGCCCCACAGGUCCUUUAAAAUGGGUCCGAUCGGGUCUAAGUGGGAGGGGCCAGGUCGGUCAAGGUCUGGUAACAAGUCAACCCGAUCCAUUUGCAGCCUUAUGAAUAUUAUCAACCCUGAAGCUUCUAGGGAUUUUGAGGUACCAACACCUUCAGCACUUGGAGAGACACAGUAGGGCAAUAUAGCAGCCCAUCAGUAGAGAUGUCAAAAUUUUCUCAAACUAAAUUUUAUACCUCUACAUGAGCUACAAAUUAGCUCCAUUAACUCUAUGCAGAUUACGAAUGUAAGGUUCCUUUUAUCAUAUGUAAAUACACAUUAUGUAAAAUUUCUUCCCAUUUCACAAGUUCCUACACUAAGAUUUUAUAUCAAAUAUAUCUACAUAAUAAAUAGCAUUAAAGAAGGAGUACAGCAGCAGGACAGAACAGUAUGUGUUUUAUUUGGUUAUUUGGUCACCCUUAAUUAUAGUAGAAUAAGUUGAUUCUCCCUGCUUUUUGAACCGGAUCAAAUUUAUCCACUUGAUGAGUAAGCCAAAUAUGGCUAAGUUUGAGUAAAUUGCAUAUUUGACCAGAUUUGCACAAUUUUUUAAACUACUUUCUAGUAGGUGUAAUGAGAUUAUUAGGGGAAUACCGUUAUCAUUAGAUCCAAGGAUUGAAGUGCCAAUCAGCACAAGUCUAUAUAACAUGACACAAAUCAUGCCAAUGCCUUACCAAUACAUGGCACUGGCAUAGUAGCAGAUAUAUAACGAUGCUUGGCACUCCAAAAUGCCAUUGCAUGUGGGCACUGGCACCAUCAACACAGCACAGCUUGGUAUGUGUCCUGUUGAUGCUAGGCCAGCACAGCUCUGGCAUGCAAUGACCAGACCUAUAACCUUGCUAUUUCAAGUUAACUCUCACUUUACAACUUAUAGGCAACCAAUAACCCUAGAUUAAAAGUAAGGAUUGGAGGAAACCACAUCAAGUUUGGGCUAGACCCAAAUCUAACCAACAAACUUGCAUUUCUACAAGAAAAUUAGUAAAAUAAAGAUCAACCUUUUGUCAGAUCCCUCUUGAUUAAAGUUCUCUAUAGCCAACCAAACUUUGAUCAGAGGGGCUUGGGCUAUUGUUUUCUCCACCAUGAGUUCUGAAAAUAGACAACAUCAAUUGUUUACACAAUAGUAUUGUCUGAUAAGACUUCGGUUGAGAUAUUGCAUUAUGAUUUCCUAUAACAAGCCUUUUGCAAAAACAUUAAACUAAUUAUGAUUAUAAAUAAUUUUGCUAACAUCAAAUUUUGAAAAUGUUUGACGAUUAUAAUUAUGAUUAUGUAAAAAUUUUGAAACAUCACACAAUUCAAUUUGCAAUGAAUUUAUAACACUGAUGUUGAUAGAACAUUGCAUAUUGGCUAUGCUUUAUAGCCAUAUACAACAGAUGGGAAAAGAAAAAUUAGGAACAAGAAGUCCUAUAAGAAUAUAUGACCAAAUGUAAUAAAUGGUCAAAACUUACAUGUAAUAUUCUCAAAAGGUUAAUUAGUAAAACAAGCAAAGGAAUCAUGAGUUCAACUAAGCUCUGUUCAUGACUUCGUUCCAAUAGCAAAUCAGUCGUAGUGUUACAUUCUGCACCUUCAUCAACUAGGUAAUCUGAAGAUUCAAACAAUAGCCAAAAUUCAGAAAAAUAUAACUCAGAAGAAAAAAAAUUAUUCAAUGCAAAGCAUGCAAAUGAAAAGAAAUCACAUGCCAAACAAAUGAUAUGCCUGGUCCAAAAGGAAAUUUUGCAUCCGAAACAACAUAAUCCUAAAACAUAUAAAGCAUAAAGCUAUUCAAGCCAGCUUAUAUAAAGUUAUGCAUGGGCAACUAAUUGUCAAGUUGAGAACCUAGCAUAAUAAGAUUAAGUACUAAUUAGAUUUUAUGUGAAGAAAUACUGUAAAAUUUAGACUUAAAUCUCUUUCGACCAAAAUGUGGCAGUAGUUGGGCUUAAGUAAAUUAAGCAGCAGUCAAAUGCCAAUUAUCUCAAGUAAUUGACUCGUGCAUCUUAGAUCCUUGUCCAAUUCUAUCUUGUCCAGAUUCACACGUCUAGUUUUUGCAUAGAGAUAAACCUUGAUAACUAAACUAACAAGAAAAUAGGGUAACAAGGUAUGUUGAACCGGUACCGCCGACCGUUUCAACCGGCCGAUGGUACGGUUCGGUAUGGUUUCAUACCGUACCGAACCGACGAUCCGAACCGAAAGAAAAAAAGAGAGAAAGAGAGAAAGAGGAAGAAAAAAAAGAGGGAGGGGAAGGAGCCGGCGAGGCCGCCGGACGGCCUCCGAUUGGCCGCCGUGGCCGUCGGAGGGCGCAAUCCACGCGCACGGCGCCGCAGGCGUGAAACAGGAGCAUCGCCCUGUUUUAUAAUUUUUUUAAAAAAUAUGGUUUUAAAUGAAGUCGGCAAACAAUUUGCCGGCUUCACGAUUUUUGUUCUUUUAAAAAAAAAACUUAAGUCGACAAUCCAGUUGCCGACUUCAUAAGUUUAAAACAAAAAAAGAAAAAAUCAAAACAGACAUCGUCUGUUUCGAAAAAAGGGGGGCGGAGCCCUCCGUGGCUCCGCCCGCUCGACCACCCUCAGACCGUCGACGUCGGCUCGCCGGCCACCGGAAGCCUCGCAACGAAGGUAUCGUCCGUCCGGUAGGUUGCCCGCCCUCCCUCCGAACGCUCUCUCUUUUUUGCUCUCUUGAAAGCCCUAUCGGACGAUACGAGGCUCGGAAGCCCUCCGACGGCCGCAGCCGACCACCGUCGGCCUCCGACGGCUCCCACCUCCCUCCCUCCCCUCCCCUCUCUCUUUUUCUUACUUUCCGUUCUUUUUUCUUCGGUACCGCCGGUGUACCGAUUUUACCGACCGAAUCGUGCCGGUUCCCCGUCGGUCCGGUACGAGAUGGGGUGUACCGACCGGUUCGGCACGGUAUGGCAAACCUUGCAGGAUAAUACAUUACCAAUAGCAAGAUGGAUAAAAAAGAUAUAUCUAAUUUAAGCCAUGCCACAUGUUGCCGCUGAAAUCUAGGUCAUGGUCGGAAAAGCUGGAGCAGUGAUGCGUCCUCCCAAAAAAAAAUCUACAAGCAAGUCCUGAUCAGAGUUAGCUCCAGUGGGGACCUUCCAGUGCUUAAGUCAAAUAACAGAAGAAACAGGUGAGGAGUGCAGAGAGAUUAUUUCGCACGUAUCUUAGGGGGUCCCCUGGAGGUCCUUUUAUAGACUAAGAUCAGAAAACUAUUUUGGGAAGUUACGUGGUCGAUUCAGGCGCGACGUGGCAAGACUUCCGACCGAGAUUAAUGAAAGGAUUAUUGCACCUACUAAGGUUUGCCAUAUCGUGCCGAACCGGCCAGUAUGCCCCAUAUCAUACCGGACCGACAGAGAACCGACACGAUUCGAUCGGUAAAUUCAGUACACCGAUAGUACGGAAAGAAAAAAAAGGAAAAGUGAGAAAGAGAGAGAGAGAGGAGAGGGAGGGAGGUGGGAGCCACUGGAGGCCGGCGGUGGCCGGCUGCGGCCGUCAGAGGACUUCCGAGCUCCGUAUCGCCCGAUAGGACUUUCAAAAGAGUGAGAAAGAGAGAGAGAGCGCUCGGGGGGAGGGACCUACCGGACGAACGACGCCUCCAUCGCAAGACCCCUGGUGGCUGGCAAGCCGACGCUGACGGCUUGAGGGCAGUUGAGCGGGUGGAGCCCCUCCGCGGCUCUGCCCCCUUCUUUUUCGAAACAAACGGUCGUCUAUUUUGAUUUUUCUUUUUUUUUUAGUUUUAAACUCAUAAAGUCGGCAACUAAAGAAUUUUUUUAAAAAAGGACAAAAAUCGUGAAGCCGGCAAACUAUUUGCCGACUUCACUUAAAACUAUGUUUUUUAAAAAAACUCACGAAACAGAGGCAAUGCCCCUGUUUCACGCCCGCGGCGCCGCGCGCAUGGACUGCGCCCUCCGACGGCCAACUGGAGGCCAUCCGGCAGCCCCGCCGGCUCCUUCCCCUCCCUUUUUUUCUUUCUUCCUCCUCUCUCUUUAUUUCUCUCUUUUUUUCUUCUGAUUCGGGUCCACUUGCCUUUGUCAGUUCGAUACGGUACGAAACCAUACCGAACCGUACCAUCGAUCGGUCGAUACGGCCGGCGGUACUGGUUCAGCAUACCUUGGCACCUACCUUUUCUAUUCCGGAGCCAACUGAAUGUCGUGGGCAUUUUUGAAUUUUGAAAUGAGUAGAGGUUGGAUUGGACUAGUUUCUUUUGUUGAGACUUCGGCUUGGUCCAAUGGAAGCAAGUGCUAAAGGAAAGAGAUGGCCAGGGCCGAUCGUGCUCGGUGAGAUGAAGACUGGUGAAGGUUGACAUAUACGUACGGCUGAAGUUAGAAAUCGGCUAGUUCAGGUGUCCCGCUGUCUGCAGACAUUGGAUAGGUGUUGAAUGCCAAUUGCCAUGGAGACAGACAGGUUUGAUGCCGAAGUCAGGAUCGGCCGAUCCUGAGUGUUCCGCCCAAGAAGAUAGCUAGGAGUCAAGGAUUGUCAUGGGUUGAACUUAAGAUUAGGUUGCGCCACCUACACUACCAUCGGCUCAUGUCUUCGGCCAAAGGGGAAACAUCCCCCCCCCCAAAACACCACAUCUGUUGGCUUUAGAGAAAGAUUUGAUCUGGAGGAAGGAGUCAUUGCUUGCUCGUUAGAAGGGAGAAUAUACAUUUAAAUGAAAGCUCUUUAGGGAGGAGAGGGAG
RNAcentral lists this long non-coding RNA (33679 nucleotides) under Elaeis guineensis (African oil palm). RNAcentral describes it as "long non-coding RNA (EGUI_LNC040123)". Lineage: Eukaryota; Viridiplantae; Streptophyta; Magnoliopsida; Arecales; Arecaceae. The record is from RNAcentral.